RNAcentral lists this transfer RNA (79 nucleotides) under bacterium. Its description in RNAcentral is "tRNA-Pro". It matches the Rfam family "tRNA". From Rfam's summary of the family: Transfer RNA (tRNA) molecules are approximately 80 nucleotides in length. Their secondary structure includes four short double-helical elements and three loops (D, anti-codon, and T loops). The record is from RNAcentral.
CGGGGCGUAGCGCAGGCUGGUUUAGCGCGCAUGGUUUGGGACCAUGAGGUCGGAGGUUCGAAUCCUCUCGCCCCGACAA